This is a long non-coding RNA of Cyanistes caeruleus (blue tit), 779 nucleotides long. RefSeq lists it as uncharacterized. The record is from RefSeq and is a predicted model, not a curated record. Lineage: Eukaryota; Metazoa; Chordata; Aves; Passeriformes; Paridae.
CAAGAAAAAGUGCUGCUGCUUGGUCAUAAAGGGCAGAACCCUAUUUGUCCCACUUGCAUUGUUUGGUGGGUGUUGUGGUUAAGAAAGCACAGCAGGGGCUAUUUUAUUGUUGUUAUGCUCUGGCUUUUCUGAAACUUCACUACUAGAGGAAAGGAUAAAUAACUUCCAGGAGACAGACUCACAAGAACAAAGAGAGAGACAGACAAGCACAGGCGCCAGCUACAGAUGCUGCACCCUGCAGCCAAAAUGAGGGUGUUGUUCCAGGCAGGUUCCAUCUUGUUUCAAAAUCUUCCACUCUCUUUAGGGCAAGACUAGAAGAAAACCCCUGUGAUUUUCUGAAGCGAGGAAGAAAGAACCUGGUGUUUUUAGAAGGGCCAUUUGUGCUUGAUGAAAUCCACUGGAAUUUUGAUCACCUCUCCUUCCUGAUGCAAAAAGAAAAUUGGAGAGCAGACCAAAUACUGUUGUAGCUCCUGAGAAAAUGCAUCUUCUUUUAUCCAGUGGUGCCUGCACACAGUUUAUCAGUGCGUCCAAAAAGAUCAUCUCCCAGUGCCAGGAGGUCCUGUAGCUGUUCCUAGGUGUGGUCCUGAGGGCUUUGCCCACACACCUUGAACUCCCAGCAACUGAUCCCGUGGCAGAUUUCCCUUGAGGAGGUGACACAGAAGGCCGUACUCACAAACCUGGGUUGACUUUGCUGCUAACUGUUGCAGAAGCAGAGCUGGGACAGUGAGCCGCGGGGUUUCCCAGUAAUCAGCUUGGAGUAGUAAAGAAAAAAGAGCUUG